Molecule: long non-coding RNA, 1183 nt
Filed under: Homo sapiens (human)
Lineage: Eukaryota; Metazoa; Chordata; Mammalia; Primates; Hominidae
Description: PREDICTED lncRNA (TCONS_00226968)
Source: RNAcentral
CUAGAUUUGGAAAUCUCUGUCUACGUGUAUGAAAGGAGGGAAGCAGCUAUAAAUUAGAAAGGAGAUAGGAAAGUGAAGAUAUUUACUAGACUCUGCCUUUGCUUGCAGUUCUCUGGCUUGAUUGAGGAGGUUCUCACUUUCAUCUUUAUGGGACUUUGGCUAAAAAAAUAAACUGUCAAAGGAACUGGCAUUUGCUGACUGGACUACAGCACAUCUCGAAGAAUCUGCAGACUGAAACCUUCAAGGCAUUCAUGAAAUGGUCUUCCCUUAGUUCCCCUGCCUUUUCCACUCUUUCUGCCAUUUGGAUUUCACACUGGAAGUUCAAGAGAUGACAUCAGAAAACAGAAAAGCCAGUGGGAAAGGCAAGGAGAUUUGGAAGAGUGUUUGAAAAUUUUGGCAAUCAAGAAUAAGAAGGUCAGUAAAUUUCAGUGCAGGACCACAUAAGUCUAAAAUACUGUGACUGACUACUUCCUAAAAAUCACCUUGUAACACAGGCUCUCUUGGUUUUUAAUACAACCACAGACCUACGAUUUUGCUUAAAGAUCGUGCAACUGUGUAGACGGAUGUUCCUGCAAACCCGAUUGUUCUGCUACUGCAUAAAGAAUAUGUCUUGAAGGACAAGAGUGGAGACAGUUGGAUCAGCUAGGAGGCUCUGGUGGCAAUUUAAACUGUAGAUGAGGUGACUUGGACCAAAGAGCAGCAGUAGAGACAAGGAAAGUGGUCAGAAAUCAAGAUUCAAGGCCUGGUGUGGUGGCUCACGCCUGUAAUCCCAGCACUCUGGGAUGCCAAGAAAGCAGGAAGCCAAGUCACCAGGCAGAACUGAUAGCAUGGGAAGUGGGUUCCCACCAGUCGCAUGCAGCUGCUCUGGUAUGGCCAUGGUGCUGGGGAUGAGUCAGAAAUCUCAGUCUUUUCUGGCUUAAAGAAAAGGAAGAAUGGAACCCAUCUUCUCCAGAUAUGUUGUUAUGGGGUAGGUGUAGGUCUAGAGACAGAAAAGAAUCACAUUUGAACAUCCUCUUAAUGCAAGAACAUUUUUAAAGAAACAAUUUUCCCUGAAUAUCCAUCAAGCCUAAUACAGUGUGACUAUCUGAGAUCAAUUAUUCUUAUCUUUACAAAGACUGGGAGUUAUACAGCAAAAGCAAUACUGUAAAAUAUGUGUAUUAAAAUAUGUAAAAGAAGGGAGUUG